RNAcentral lists this transfer RNA (76 nucleotides) under Macellibacteroides sp. HH-ZS. RNAcentral's name for it is "tRNA-Arg". It matches the Rfam family "tRNA". From Rfam's summary of the family: Transfer RNA (tRNA) molecules are approximately 80 nucleotides in length. Lineage: Bacteria; Pseudomonadati; Bacteroidota; Bacteroidia; Bacteroidales; Porphyromonadaceae. The record is from RNAcentral.
GGCUGGGUAGCUUAGUGAAUAGAGCGUCAGAUUCCGGUUCUGAAGGUCGAGGGUUUGAAUCCCUCCCUGGUCACGA